UAGGGAAUCUUCCGCAAUGGGCGAAAGCCUGACGGAGCAACGCCGCGUGAGUGAAGAAGGUCUUCGGAUCGUAAAACUCUGUUAUUAGGGAAGAACAAAUGUGUAAGUAACUAUGCACGUCUUGACGGUACCUAAUCAGAAAGCCACGGCUAACUACGUGCCAGCAGCCGCGGUAAUACGUAGGUGGCAAGCGUUAUCCGGAAUUAUUGGGCGUAAAGCGCGCGUAGGCGGUUUUUUAAGUCUGAUGUGAAAGCCCACGGCUCAACCGUGGAGGGUCAUUGGAAACUGGAAAACUUGAGUGCAGAAGAGGAAAGUGGAAUUCCAUGUGUAGCGGUGAAAUGCGCAGAGAUAUGGAGGAACACCAGUGGCGAAGGCGACUUUCUGGUCUGUAACUGACGCUGAUGUGCGAAAGCGUGGGGAUCAAACAGGAUUAGAUACCCUGGUAGUCCACGCCGUAAACGAUAAGUGCUAAGUGUUAGGGGGUUUCCGCCCCUUAGUGCUGCAGCUAACGCAUUAAGCACUCCGCCUGGGGAGUACGACCGCAAGGUUG
This 550-nucleotide ribosomal RNA is filed under the name uncultured bacterium. Its description in RNAcentral is "bacterial SSU rRNA". It matches the Rfam family "Bacterial small subunit ribosomal RNA", at positions 355 to 896 of the family's 1533-position model. The record is from RNAcentral.